Molecule: non-coding RNA, 26 nt
Filed under: Rattus norvegicus (Norway rat)
Lineage: Eukaryota; Metazoa; Chordata; Mammalia; Rodentia; Muridae
Source: RNAcentral
UGAUUAAUGAUCUUGUUAUCCGUGCA